AUACGUAGGGAGCAAGCGUUGUCCGGAAUUACUGGGCGUAAAGGGUGCGUAGGUGGCUAUUUAAGUCAGGUGUGAAAGACCGGGGCUCAACUCCGGGGUUGCACUUGAAACUGGGUGGCUUGAGUACAGGAGAGGGAAGUGGAAUUCCUAGUGUAGCGGUGAAAUGCGUAGAGAUUAGGAAGAACACCAGUGGCGAAGGCGACUCUCUGGACUGUAACUGACGCUGAGGCUCGAAAGCGUGGGGAGC
This 247-nucleotide ribosomal RNA is filed under the name uncultured bacterium. RNAcentral describes it as "partial 16S ribosomal RNA". It matches the Rfam family "Bacterial small subunit ribosomal RNA", at positions 523 to 769 of the family's 1533-position model. The record is from RNAcentral.